GACGAACGCUGGCGGCGUGCCUAAUACAUGCAAGUCGAGCGGACGGAUGGGAGCUUGCUCCCAGACCGUCAGCGGCGGACGGGUGAGUAACACGUGGGCAACCUGCCUGUAAGACUGGGAUAACUCCGGGAAACCGGGGCUAAUACCGGAUAACUCUUUCCCUCACAUGAGGGAAAGCUGAAAGAUGGCAUCUCGCUAUCACUUACAGAUGGGCCCGCGGCGCAUUAGCUAGUUGGUGAGGUAACGGCUCACCAAGGCGACGAUGCGUAGCCGACCUGAGAGGGUGAUCGGCCACACUGGGACUGAGACACGGCCCAGACUCCUACGGGAGGCAGCAGUAGGGAAUCUUCCGCAAUGGACGAAAGUCUGACGGAGCAACGCCGCGUGAGUGAUGAAGGUUUUCGGAUCGUAAAACUCUGUUGUCAGGGAAGAACAAGUACCGGAGUAACUGCCGGUACCUUGACGGUACCUGACCAGAAAGCCACGGCUAACUACGU
Molecule: ribosomal RNA, 497 nt
Filed under: uncultured bacterium
Lineage: Bacteria
Description: partial 16S ribosomal RNA
Rfam family: Bacterial small subunit ribosomal RNA
Source: RNAcentral